Molecule: non-coding RNA, 29 nt
Filed under: Mus musculus (house mouse)
Lineage: Eukaryota; Metazoa; Chordata; Mammalia; Rodentia; Muridae
Also listed under: 1 other name
Source: RNAcentral
UGAGACCCUCUGGUGGAUUGGAUGUGAGU